Molecule: ribosomal RNA, 254 nt
Filed under: uncultured bacterium
Lineage: Bacteria
Description: partial 16S ribosomal RNA
Rfam family: Bacterial small subunit ribosomal RNA
Source: RNAcentral
UACGAAGGGGGCUAGCGUUGUUCGGAUUUACUGGGCGUAAAGGGCGUGUAGGCGGCCCGUUAAGACAGGUGUGAAAUUCCUGGGCUCAACCCAGGACGUGCGCCUGUGACUGGCGGGCUUGAGUCCGGGAGAGGAUGGUGGAACUCCCAGUGUAGAGGUGAAAUUCGUAGAUAUUGGGAAGAACACCCGUGGCGAAGGCGGCCAUCUGGACCGGUACUGACGCUAAGGCGCGACAGCGUGGGGAGCAAACAGGG